Molecule: long non-coding RNA, 1349 nt
Organism: Capsicum annuum
Lineage: Eukaryota; Viridiplantae; Streptophyta; Magnoliopsida; Solanales; Solanaceae
Exons: 6
Source: RefSeq, a predicted model, not a curated record
AGCUUAUGGACACCAAUUUUUUUGACGUGCACGACGUCUUAUUUCAAUAAUUAACAAAAAAAAGCGUACAUGUUAUACUCAUCUACAGUUCUUUUCUUAGUUUUGUCUGUCUUCUAUAAGUUCUAAAGAAGGACUUGUAAUAGUGUAUUCUGUUGUAAUAGGAAUUUGAAGGCGAUCUGCACCAAAAUCUAAAUGUGGAUGAUCUUAACGUAUUCAGACAAUCCAAAAGAUGUUCGAAUAUUUGCUAGCCAUAGCAUGAGCAUUGAUGGGAUAUCCAUAGGUACUCAACUGGCAAGUUGAUACAAAUUGCAGAAGCUGAUCCCUGACGCUACAGAAACAUUAUUGUCGCUAUAUCUCAAUAGGAUAAGAUGAGAAUGUGCUUUAAACAGGGCAAAUAUGAAUGAGGUACUUGGAAGUGCAUUCAAUCCAUCUGCUCCUUUCCAAGGAAUUCCAGAUGUUGAACAAUUAGCAAGACUACUAUCGUGCACUAGGACUGCGCUUAUAAACAAAACUUCACAGCUCUUUACUGAAUAUGAAGGGGAUAUGUGCCAAAAUUUAAAUGUGGAUGAUCUGAGUGUGCGCAACAGAACAGUACAUACAAUUGAAAAAAUGUUCGAGUAUGUAGGCAGAUAUUUUCUUGAGCUUGGCAAAUUAAUGAUGCAAGUUCAAUCAUCGGCUUUCAGUAUGAUCUGUAUCUUGCUGGGCUGCAGCAGAGGCAACAUUCAGCUAUAUCUCUUCAUCAAACCAGAAGUUCUUUAUAUUCCGAAGACUUGCGUGAGUUCAACCUAGAUACACUAUCUCAACAUCAACAUGAGCAAGCUAGUGCAAAUAUUAGACAACAGAACACUGAACUUAAUGAUGUACAUGGAGAAGGAAACAACAUAAACACGUUGAGUCCUAGUCGAGAUGACUUUAUUCAGGAUAGUGUUAUCCAUGUUGAAGAAACUGAUACAUCUGGAGCAACUACCGAGAAUGUCACCGAGAAUAUGGAGACGCCAACUGUAGAAUAUAGAAGUGUUCAUGAAUGGUCCAUCGAAGUAAGUCAUCUGUUUUACAACUUGAAUCUGAAAUGUGGUCGUCCUCAACACGGAUAGACAUUGAAUGCGAUAGUGUUUGACUACCAUUCUGUUUUUUAUUGCUUGAGUACAUUUGUACAUAAUAUUUUUCGUGGUACUUCAACAUAGAAUAUGACUAUUGUCUGAGUUUGAGGAGUAGUAAUAGUAGUAGUAGUUGUUGAGUUUUAUUUUUUUUCUGAAUUCUGAUUACGGUUGGUCCUGAUAAAAGUGUUUUGGUUUCUCUUUUUGGAUUCAGAUGGAGUGAUGCUUUUGUUGAGGGAGUUUAUUUACUGU